GCGUGCCUAACACAUGCAAGUCGAGCGGAUGACGGGAGCUUGCUCCUUGUUUCCGCGGCGGACGGGUGAGUAAUGCCUAGGAAUCUGCCUGGUAGUGGGGACAACAUUUCGAAAGGAACGCUGAUACCACAUACGUCCUACUGGAGAAAGCAGGGGACCUUCGGGCCUUGGGCUAUCUGAUGACCCUAAGUCGGAUUACCUAGUUGGUGAGGUAAUGGGUCACCAAAGCGACUAUCCGUAGCUGGUCUGAGAGGAUGACCUGUCACACUGGACCUGAAACCCGGUCCUGACUCCUACGGGAGGCUCCAAUGGGGAAUAUUGGACAAUGGUCUACAGCCUGGUCCAACCAUGCCGGUGUGUGAACAAGGUCUUCGGAUUGUAUCUCACUUUAAGUUGGGAGGAAGGCAGGAAGUUAAUACCUUGCUGUUUUGACUUUACCUAUUGAAUAAGCACCGGCUAACUCUGUGCCAACACUCGCGGUAAUACAGAGGGUGCAAGCGUUAAUCGGAAUUACUGUCCGUAAUGCUCGCGUAUGUGGUUCGUUAAGUUGGAUGUGAAAGCCCGGGGCUCAACCUGGGAACUGCAUCCAGAAGGGUCAUGCUAAACUACGUACUGGGUGGUGGAAUUUCCUGUGUAACUUCCAAAUGCGUAGAUAUAUGGCGGAAAACAUUGGCGAACGCGACGCCUGGGCUGAUUCUGUCGACUGAGAUUCGAAACUGUGGGGAGAAAGCAGGAGAACAACCUGAUAGUCACCCCGGUAAGCCAUGCCACUAACCAUUAGGAAUCAUGAUAUUUAGUGGCCCCCCUUACCAUAACUUAACGAAUGAGGCUUCGCCGCGAGAUCAAACUAUG
This 852-nucleotide ribosomal RNA is filed under the name Pseudomonas songnenensis. RNAcentral's name for it is "bacterial SSU rRNA". It matches the Rfam family "Bacterial small subunit ribosomal RNA". Lineage: Bacteria; Pseudomonadati; Pseudomonadota; Gammaproteobacteria; Pseudomonadales; Pseudomonadaceae. The record is from RNAcentral.